RNAcentral lists this long non-coding RNA (423 nucleotides) under Canis lupus dingo (dingo). Its description in RNAcentral is "lncRNA (ENSCAFG00020025223.1)". The record is from RNAcentral. Lineage: Eukaryota; Metazoa; Chordata; Mammalia; Carnivora; Canidae.
CCUUCAAGUAGUAUCACCAACUUCCAAACCAGCCCUCAUCCAUCAGCUGGAGCAAGGAAGAGAGCUGUGUUUCACCAGCCACAGGGAGCACUAAGCAGGAGGAGCAGGAGAGCUGGCUCAAAAGGACUAGAAGCAGCUGAAGAUCUUGCUCAAGUGCCUUCCUGCUGCAGAAGAAACUUGAAGAAAAUGGGAGUAAGAGAAAUAAGGGUUGGGGAGAGCAGCUGCAGCCUUGAUCACAGCCUGGGCAUGGGGAAGAAGGUUAUAGAGAAUUGUGUUGGUUGGAAACCAAUGGUACAUAAAUGAAAAUAUUUAUGAGGACCUGACUGUGUAUGUAGCAUAGCCAACUGUUGAAAUAGAUAAAUGUGCCAAGGAGAUGAUAGCCACCUAGACUUAUUAAAAAUUAAAUUAAUUUUAAAGCAAUAC